AAGACGAGCCACACGAACGUUAUUCGGAAUUACUGGGCUUAAAGGGUGCGUAGGCUGCGCGGAAAGUUGGGUGUGAAAUACCUCGGCUCAACCGAGGAACUGCGCCCAAAACUACCGUGCUCGAGGGAGAUAGAGGUGAGCGGAACUUACGGUGGAGCGGUGAAAUGCGUUGAUAUCGUAAGGAACACCCGUGGCGAAAGCGGCUCACUGGGUCUUCUCUGACGCUGAUGCACGAAAGCUAGGGGAGCAAACG
RNAcentral lists this ribosomal RNA (253 nucleotides) under uncultured prokaryote. Its description in RNAcentral is "partial 16S ribosomal RNA". It matches the Rfam family "Bacterial small subunit ribosomal RNA", at positions 522 to 774 of the family's 1533-position model. The record is from RNAcentral.